RNAcentral lists this ribosomal RNA (2902 nucleotides) under Escherichia coli. RNAcentral describes it as "23S ribosomal RNA". It matches the Rfam family "Bacterial large subunit ribosomal RNA". The record is from RNAcentral. Lineage: Bacteria; Pseudomonadati; Pseudomonadota; Gammaproteobacteria; Enterobacterales; Enterobacteriaceae.
UUAAGCGACUAAGCGUACACGGUGGAUGCCCUGGCAGUCAGAGGCGAUGAAGGACGUGCUAAUCUGCGAUAAGCGUCGGUAAGGUGAUAUGAACCGUUAUAACCGGCGAUUUCCGAAUGGGGAAACCCAGUGUGAUUCGUCACACUAUCAUUAACUGAAUCCAUAGGUUAAUGAGGCGAACCGGGGGAACUGAAACAUCUAAGUACCCCGAGGAAAAGAAAUCAACCGAGAUUCCCCCAGUAGCGGCGAGCGAACGGGGAGCAGCCCAGAGCCUGAAUCAGUGUGUGUGUUAGUGGAAGCGUCUGGAAAGGCGCGCGAUACAGGGUGACAGCCCCGUACACAAAAAUGCACAUACUGUGAGCUCGAUGAGUAGGGCGGGACACGUGGUAUCCUGUCUGAAUAUGGGGGGACCAUCCUCCAAGGCUAAAUACUCCUGACUGACCGAUAGUGAACCAGUACCGUGAGGGAAAGGCGAAAAGAACCCGGCGAGGGGAGUGAAAAAGAACCUGAAACCGUGUACGUACAAGCAGUGGGAGCACAGAGCAAUCUGUGUGACUGCGUACCUUUUGUAUAAUGGGUCAGCGACUUAUAUUCUGUAGCAAGGUUAACCGAAUAGGGGAGCCGAAGGGAAACCGAGUCUUAACUGGGCGUUAAGUUGCAGGGUAUAGACCCGAAACCCGGUGAUCUAGCCAUGGGCAGGUUGAAGGUUGGGUAACACUAACUGGAGGACCGAACCGACUAAUGUUGAAAAAUUAGCGGAUGACUUGUGGCUGGGGGUGAAAGGCCAAUCAAACCGGGAGAUAGCUGGUUCUCCCCGAAAGCUAUUUAGGUAGCGCCUCGUGAAUUCAUCUCCGGGGGUAGAGCACUGUUUCGGCAAGGGGGUCAUCCCGACUUACCAACCCGAUGCAAACUGCGAAUACCGGAGAAUGUUAUCACGGGAGACACACGGCGGGUGCUAACGUCCGUCGUGAAGAGGGAAACAACCCAGACCGCCAGCUAAGGUCCCAAAGUCAUGGUUAAGUGGGAAACGAUGUGGGAAGGCCCAGACAGCCAGGAUGUUGGCUUAGAAGCAGCCAUCAUUUAAAGAAAGCGUAAUAGCUCACUGGUCGAGUCGGCCUGCGCGGAAGAUGUAACGGGGCUAAACCAUGCACCGAAGCUGCGGCAGCGACGCUGAUGCGUUGUUGGGUAGGGGAGCGUUCUGUAAGCCUGUGAAGGUGUGCUGUGAGGCAUGCUGGAGGUAUCAGAAGUGCGAAUGCUGACAUAAGUAACGAUAAAGCGGGUGAAAAGCCCGCUCGCCGGAAGACCAAGGGUUCCUGUCCAACGUUAAUCGGGGCAGGGUGAGUCGACCCCUAAGGCGAGGCCGAAAGGCGUAGUCGAUGGGAAACAGGUUAAUAUUCCUGUACUUGGUGUUACUGCGAAGGGGGGACGGAGAAGGCUAUGUUGGCCGGGCGACGGUUGUCCCGGUUUAAGCGUGUAGGCUGGUUUUCCAGGCAAAUCCGGAAAAUCAAGGCUGAGGCGUGAUGACGAGGCACUACGGUGCUGAAGCAACAAAUGCCCUGCUUCCAGGAAAAGCCUCUAAGCAUCAGGUAACAUCAAAUCGUACCCCAAACCGACACAGGUGGUCAGGUAGAGAAUACCAAGGCGCUUGAGAGAACUCGGGUGAAGGAACUAGGCAAAAUGGUGCCGUAACUUCGGGAGAAGGCACGCUGAUAUGUAGGUGAAGUCCCUCGCGGAUGGAGCUGAAAUCAGUCGAAGAUACCAGCUGGCUGCAACUGUUUAUUAAAAACACAGCACUGUGCAAACACGAAAGUGGACGUAUACGGUGUGACGCCUGCCCGGUGCCGGAAGGUUAAUUGAUGGGGUCAGCGCAAGCGAAGCUCUUGAUCGAAGCCCCGGUAAACGGCGGCCGUAACUAUAACGGUCCUAAGGUAGCGAAAUUCCUUGUCGGGUAAGUUCCGACCUGCACGAAUGGCGUAAUGAUGGCCAGGCUGUCUCCACCCGAGACUCAGUGAAAUUGAACUCGCUGUGAAGAUGCAGUGUACCCGCGGCAAGACGGAAAGACCCCGUGAACCUUUACUAUAGCUUGACACUGAACAUUGAGCCUUGAUGUGUAGGAUAGGUGGGAGGCUUUGAAGUGUGGACGCCAGUCUGCAUGGAGCCGACCUUGAAAUACCACCCUUUAAUGUUUGAUGUUCUAACGUUGACCCGUAAUCCGGGUUGCGGACAGUGUCUGGUGGGUAGUUUGACUGGGGCGGUCUCCUCCUAAAGAGUAACGGAGGAGCACGAAGGUUGGCUAAUCCUGGUCGGACAUCAGGAGGUUAGUGCAAUGGCAUAAGCCAGCUUGACUGCGAGCGUGACGGCGCGAGCAGGUGCGAAAGCAGGUCAUAGUGAUCCGGUGGUUCUGAAUGGAAGGGCCAUCGCUCAACGGAUAAAAGGUACUCCGGGGAUAACAGGCUGAUACCGCCCAAGAGUUCAUAUCGACGGCGGUGUUUGGCACCUCGAUGUCGGCUCAUCACAUCCUGGGGCUGAAGUAGGUCCCAAGGGUAUGGCUGUUCGCCAUUUAAAGUGGUACGCGAGCUGGGUUUAGAACGUCGUGAGACAGUUCGGUCCCUAUCUGCCGUGGGCGCUGGAGAACUGAGGGGGGCUGCUCCUAGUACGAGAGGACCGGAGUGGACGCAUCACUGGUGUUCGGGUUGUCAUGCCAAUGGCACUGCCCGGUAGCUAAAUGCGGAAGAGAUAAGUGCUGAAAGCAUCUAAGCACGAAACUUGCCCCGAGAUGAGUUCUCCCUGACCCUUUAAGGGUCCUGAAGGAACGUUGAAGACGACGACGUUGAUAGGCCGGGUGUGUAAGCGCAGCGAUGCGUUGAGCUAACCGGUACUAAUGAACCGUGAGGCUUAACCU